CCAGGUCUUGACAUCCCGAUGCUAUUUCUAGAGAUAGAAAGUUACUUCGGUACAUCGGUGACAGGUGGUGCAUGGUUGUCGUCAGCUCGUGUCGUGAGAUGUUGGGUUAAGUCCCGCAACGAGCGCAACCCCUAUUGUUAGUUGCCAUCAUUCAGUUGGGCACUCUAGCGAGACUGCCGGUAAUAAACCGGAGGAAGGUGGGGAUGACGUCAAAUCAUCAUGCCCCUUAUGACCUGGGCUACACACGUGCUACAAUGGUUGGUACAACGAGUUGCGAGUCGGUGACGGCGAGCUAAUCUCUUAAAGCCAAUCUCAGUUCGGAUUGUAGGCUGCAACUCGCCUACAUGAAGUCGGAAUCGCUAGUAAUCGCGGAUCAGCACGCCGCGGUCGAAUACGUUCCCGGGCCUU
RNAcentral lists this ribosomal RNA (408 nucleotides) under uncultured Streptococcus sp. RNAcentral's name for it is "bacterial SSU rRNA". It matches the Rfam family "Bacterial small subunit ribosomal RNA", at positions 974 to 1382 of the family's 1533-position model. The record is from RNAcentral. Lineage: Bacteria; Bacillati; Bacillota; Bacilli; Lactobacillales; Streptococcaceae.